RNAcentral lists this ribosomal RNA (577 nucleotides) under Lodderomyces parapsilosis. RNAcentral describes it as "eukaryotic LSU rRNA". It matches the Rfam family "Eukaryotic large subunit ribosomal RNA", at positions 55 to 648 of the family's 3401-position model. Lineage: Eukaryota; Fungi; Ascomycota; Pichiomycetes; Serinales; Debaryomycetaceae. The record is from RNAcentral.
GGAAAAGAAACCAACAGGGAUUGCCUUAGUAGCGGCGAGUGAAGCGGCAAAAGCUCAAAUUUGAAAUCUGGCACUUUCAGUGUCCGAGUUGUAAUUUGAAGAAGGUAUCUUUGGGUCUGGCUCUUGUCUAUGUUUCUUGGAACAGAACGUCACAGAGGGUGAGAAUCCCGUGCGAUGAGAUGUCCCAGACCUAUGUAAAGUUCCUUCGAAGAGUCGAGUUGUUUGGGAAUGCAGCUCUAAGUGGGUGGUAAAUUCCAUCUAAAGCUAAAUAUUGGCGAGAGACCGAUAGCGAACAAGUACAGUGAUGGAAAGAUGAAAAGAACUUUGAAAAGAGAGUGAAAAAGUACGUGAAAUUGUUGAAAGGGAAGGGCUUGAGAUCAGACUUGGUAUUUUGUAUGUUACUCUCUCGGGGGUGGCCUCUACAGUUUACCGGGCCAGCAUCAGUUUGAGCGGUAGGAUAAGUGCAAAGAAAUGUGGCACUGCUUCGGUAGUGUGUUAUAGUCUUUGUCGAUACUGCCAGCUUAGACUGAGGACUGCGGCUUCGGCCUAGGAUGUUGGCAUAAUGAUCUUAAGUCGC